Molecule: ribosomal RNA, 305 nt
Filed under: uncultured bacterium
Lineage: Bacteria
Description: bacterial SSU rRNA
Rfam family: Bacterial small subunit ribosomal RNA
Source: RNAcentral
UGCCUACGGGGGGCAGCAGUGAGGAAUAUUGGUCAAUGGGCGCGAGCCUGAACCAGCCAAGUCGCGUGAGGGAGGACGGCCCUACGGGUUGUAAACCUCUUUUGCCGGGGAGCAACGGGCGUCACGUGUGGCGCCACUGAGAGUACCCGGAGAAAAAGCAUCGGCUAACUCCGUGCCAGCAGCCGCGGUAAUACGGAGGAUGCGAGCGUUAUCCGGAUUUAUUGGGUUUAAAGGGUGCGUAGGCGGAUUUUUAAGUCAGCGGUAAAAUGUCCGGGCUCAACCCGGGCCGGCCGUUGAAACUGGGG